CUGUAAUGUUGUGGAUUCGGUACUGGCCCACAGUUGCUGGCUUUGAUAUUCGUCGAGACCUUCUGGUCGGGUUACACGUUGGCUGAGUAACCGGCGGGGUCAGCCGACGUGUAGUCUCAGAGCUGGUUAACCAAUCUUCCUCUGGCAGCUCCAUGAAAAAGGGUACAUACACCCUACGACAUUCUUCAAGUGAACAUUUGUUCCCUUGACAAGAAGAGAGCGGAUAACCUCCUCGUUGUAACCAGUCGCGGCUACAUGCAGAAUUGUGUUGCCGGCAUCAUUAGCAAAAUGUACGUCAGCCCCAUUGGCUAUCCAGCGUUGAGAAAGGUGUAUAUUUGGCUGGUUCACUGCAACCCACAACGGGGUUGCGCCAGUGGCGAAGGUACUGUCGAUGCCAGCACCUUGUUCGAGUAGGAGCAAGAGCAGAGAAUCGUUUUCCUCGCGG
RNAcentral lists this small RNA (445 nucleotides) under Histoplasma capsulatum var. duboisii H88. Its description in RNAcentral is "Histoplasma capsulatum H88 hypothetical RNA". The record is from RNAcentral. Lineage: Eukaryota; Fungi; Ascomycota; Eurotiomycetes; Onygenales; Ajellomycetaceae.